Molecule: ribosomal RNA, 370 nt
Filed under: uncultured bacterium
Lineage: Bacteria
Description: bacterial SSU rRNA
Rfam family: Bacterial small subunit ribosomal RNA
Source: RNAcentral
GUAUGGUGCAAGCGUUAUCCGGAUUUACUGGGUGUAAAGGGAGCGUAGACGGCUGUGUAAGUGUGAAGUGAAAGCCCGGGGUUCAACCCCGGGAUUGCUUUGGAAAUUAUGCAGCUAGAGUGUCGGAGAGGUAAGUGGAAUUCCCAGUGUAGCGGUGAAAUGCGUAGAUAUUGGGAGGAACACCAGUGGGGAAGGCGGCUUAUUGGACGAUGUUUGACGUUGAGGCUGGAAAGUGUGGGGAGCAAACAGGAUUAGAUACCCUGGUAUUCCACGCGGUAAACGAUGACUAAUAGGUGUGGGGGAGCAAAGCUCUUCGGUGCCGCAGCAAACGCAAUAAGUAGUCCGCCUGGGGAGUACGUUCGCAAGAAUG